UCUUAAAGUAAACUUUAAGUUAUCUAUCUAAAGUGGAAGAGAGAACGGACAUAAUUUUUAUUAUUAAAACAAGUUAUUUAAGUGAUACAUACAAGGAAACUGAUAAUUUUUCCAAGAAAGUAACAUAAAUGGAACAGACAAAGUUUAUUUGUCUUAUUCUUUUUCUCGGAGUUUCAUAUGGAAAAGUGAACGACAGUUCUUUAUGUCCAACUUUCGUCAACCAAGAAAAUUGUUGUUCUGGAUAAAGAAUGAUAAACGGAAGCUGUACAGAGUGUGUUGGUUUUUUUGGAAAAAACUGCGCAACCCCGUGUCCAGUAAAUUUUUAUGGUGUGAAGUGUGAUUCUGAAUGUAGCUGUACGGAGGAGGAAGAAUGUAAUCCAUAUGUUGGAUGUCUUCAUACCAUGUGUAAGAUUUAUUAUGUAACAGAAAGUCUUCCUUAAAAAGACAGAGUUCAUUUGUUCAUUUCUGUUUAUUUUUAGAUAAUUGUUUAAAACACUUUAUUGGAAGUUGAAUUGGACUUUCGGUUGAAGGAAGUUAAAAUAAAAACCAUCACAUAUUAAACACUACUUACAAUUUAGUAAUUUGAUAUUAAUUAUCUACAAAAGACACAAAAUAUAUACUAACUAAUCUGCUAAUGACACAAAAAAUAUAUUCAUAUACAUCGGUAAUAAGAAAUCAAAAGCCUGUUGAAUAUCUUUUU
This is a long non-coding RNA of Saccostrea cuccullata (small rock oyster), 700 nucleotides long. RefSeq lists it as uncharacterized. Lineage: Eukaryota; Metazoa; Mollusca; Bivalvia; Ostreida; Ostreidae. The record is from RefSeq and is a predicted model, not a curated record. The transcript has 3 exons.